This 72-nucleotide transfer RNA is filed under the name Camelus bactrianus (Bactrian camel). It matches the Rfam family "tRNA". Rfam says of the family: Transfer RNA (tRNA) molecules are approximately 80 nucleotides in length. Their secondary structure includes four short double-helical elements and three loops (D, anti-codon, and T loops). Lineage: Eukaryota; Metazoa; Chordata; Mammalia; Artiodactyla; Camelidae. The record is from Rfam by way of RNAcentral. RNAcentral also lists the same sequence under 2 other names.
GAGGGUAUAGCUCAGUGGUAGAGUGUGUCCCUAGCAAUCAUGAGGUCCUGGGUUCAAUCCCCAGUACCUCCA